RNAcentral lists this unclassified non-coding RNA (2116 nucleotides) under Owenia fusiformis. RNAcentral's name for it is "phosphoglycerate kinase". Lineage: Eukaryota; Metazoa; Annelida; Polychaeta; Sabellida; Oweniidae. The record is from RNAcentral.
UACCGGGCGCCGGAUGAACUAAUAGAAGUGAAAGUGUAAAAUUGAAAAGUUUUGACAUUUAUCAACCAAUUUGGAGACUAUAACUGAACACAUGGCGUUGAAAAAAUUACCCAUUGAUGCUUUGGACCUGAAAGAUAAACGGGUGUUAAUAAGGGUUGAUUUUAACAUUCCACUGAAGGGUAAAGAUAUCACUAACAACCAGAGGAUUGUAGCAGCUAUACCUACUAUCAAAUAUGCCCUGGAUCAAGGAGCCAAGUCUGUUGUGUUGAUGAGCCAUUUAGGAAGACCUGAUGGCCGCAGACAGGACAAAUUCUCACUUGCUCCUGUGGCAGCUGAACUGAAAAAACUACUCGGAAAGGAUGUCCUGUUUUUAAAUGACUGUGUGGGAGCAGAGGUAGAGAAGGCUUGCAAAAACCCAGCAGCGGGAUCGAUCAUUCUGCUUGAGAACCUUAGGUUCCAUACUGAGGAAGAAGGCAAAGGAGUUGACGAGGCUGGCAAUAAGGUUAAAGCAAAAGAUGAGGAUGUAGAAAAGUUCCGUGAAUCUCUUACAAAACUUGGGGAUGUCUAUGUCAAUGAUGCCUUCGGUACAGCACAUAGAGCACAUAGCUCAAUGGUGGGGGUGAAGCUAUCCCAGCGUGCAUCAGGCUUCCUGUUGAAGAAAGAAUUGACCUACUUUGCAAAAGCUUUAGAUAAUCCAGUGACACCUUUCCUAGCCAUCCUUGGAGGAGCAAAGGUAAAGGACAAGAUCCAGCUAAUUGAAAACCUUCUUGACAAAGUGAAUGAGAUGAUCAUAGGGGGAGGUAUGGCUUACACCUUCCUCAAGGUCCUACACAACAUGGAAAUAGGGAAUUCCUUGUAUGAUGAAGAUGGUGCAAAGAUUGUUAAAGACCUGAUAGCAAAAGCUGAGAAAAACAAUGUCAAGAUCCACCUUCCUGAUGACUUUGUAACUGGAGAUAAAUUUGCCGAGGAUGCAACUGUUGGAAAAGCAGAUCUCAAGUCUGGUAUCCCUGCUGGAUGGAUGGGCCUAGAUGUGGGGUCUGAAUCUAAUGUUAAGUUUGUGGAAGCAGUCGGUAGAGCAAAAACUAUAGUUUGGAAUGGGCCAUCCGGAGUCUUUGAAUUUCCCAACUUUGCCCAUGGUACCAAGGCCAUCAUGGAUGCUGUCGUCUUGGCAACACAGAAUGGAGCAACAUCAAUCAUUGGUGGUGGUGAUACCGCCACAUGCUGUGCCAAAUGGAACACUGAGGAUAAAGUGAGUCAUGUCAGCACAGGGGGUGGAGCUAGCUUAGAACUGCUAGAAGGUAAACUUUUACCUGGCGUUGCUGAACUCUCAGAUGCUGCCUAAUGACAUACAUUUUCAAAUAAAUGGACUGAUCAUUCUUGACCUGAGCAAUAGAUUGAUCAUUCUCAUUCUAGGGACUGAUUAUUCUUAAUUUGAACGAAAUGGAUUGAUUAUUCUUAUUCUGUUAUUGGUCAUUAUCAUUCUAAAGAAUAAGAUCUGAUCAUUCACAUCCUGUACUAUAUGGACUGAUCAUGUUUUUUAUUCUACACAGUUAUGUAGAUCAAUGUUAGUUCAAAUAUACAGAUUCAAUGGUACAAUAGGCGAGCAUGUGUGUGUAUUCUACAGAAACCUCUCUCUGGAUUUAUUAACAGUAAAUGAAUCAGAUAUAAAAUGCACUUUGUGAGAAAAAUUAUUUGUCCAAUGAGUAAGGCAAGUAGGAUUUACUGGAAAACAAAUUAUGAGUAAAAGCAUGUGUAUUGGCAUAGGGAUCAAUAUAAUGUGUUGUUUGUCUAUUAUAAUACAUUUAGAGACAUCUUUAUACACUUGUAUGUUUUAUGAAACGAUCAGUAUUUUAUUGUUGCAUUUUGAUACAAUUCUAGAUUGUAAACAGUGUUAUAAAUGAAACAUAUACAACUUGAAUUAUGUUUUCUGUAUACUCAUACAUAUACCCUAUACAAUAUUGAUGAUAUUGGUCCAACGGUAUUUCAGUUAUUGCCUGGAUGGACGGAGUCAUUCUCUGAUGUUAUGCAGUAUUCAAAAAUCUUAUGUCCCUUAUUAAGACUUGGUACAAACUAACUAACUCGGGUCUCAUAUUGUUAUCCCAACGAACGAAGUUCG